Molecule: ribosomal RNA, 700 nt
Filed under: Enterobacter cloacae
Lineage: Bacteria; Pseudomonadati; Pseudomonadota; Gammaproteobacteria; Enterobacterales; Enterobacteriaceae
Description: bacterial SSU rRNA
Rfam family: Bacterial small subunit ribosomal RNA
Source: RNAcentral
GUGCAUUGCGCAGCUACACAUGCAGUCGAACGGUAGCACAGAGAGCUUGCUCUCGGGUGACGAGUGGCGGACGGGUGAGUAAUGUCUGGGAAACUGCCUGAUGGAGGGGGAUAACUACUGGAAACGGUAGCUAAUACCGCAUAACGUCGCAAGACCAAAGAGGGGGACCUUCGGGCCUCUUGCCAUCAGAUGUGCCCAGAUGGGAUUAGCUAGUAGGUGGGGUAACGGCUCACCUAGGCGACGAUCCCUAGCUGGUCUGAGAGGAUGACCAGCCACACUGGAACUGAGACACGGUCCAGACUCCUACGGGAGGCAGCAGUGGGGAAUAUUGCACAAUGGGCGCAAGCCUGAUGCAGCCAUGCCGCGUGUAUGAAGAAGGCCUUCGGGUUGUAAAGUACUUUCAGCGGGGAGGAAGGUGUUGUGGUUAAUAACCGCAGCAAUUGACGUUACCCGCAGAAGAAGCACCGGCUAACUCCGUGCCAGCAGCCGCGGUAAUACGGAGGGUGCAAGCGUUAAUCGGAAUUACUGGGCGUAAAGCGCACGCAGGCGGUCUGUCAAGUCGGAUGUGAAAUCCCCGGGCUCAACCUGGGAACUGCAUUCGAAACUGGCAGGCUGGAGUCUUGUAAAGGGGGGUAGAAUUCCCUGUGUGGCGCUGCCAUGCGUACAGAUCUGUAGAAGUACCGGAGGCGCAGGCGGCCCC